CAUCGUGGCCCUAUCUACAGUCUCGCGAUGGCGUCAUUUCGGAUUUGCAGUUGAGCAGCCAAUUAGGAGGACGCGGGUGCCGUGCGCGUGACGGACGGAAGUCGCGACAGACGCCCUUAUGAAAGCCACAAAAUCUGUUCUAUAUUAAUUCUUCUGCAUUGGCGUCCGAACAGAAGCAAACUGUAUGACACCACAGUAAGGAUUCCCUCAACGUGACGUUGUUGGAAAUCCACUGUGUUCAACACCCUUCAUACCCGAAAGACGGCCACUUUUCCAGGCUCUGAAGACAAUCAUCAUGAAGACGGCCAUCAUUAUUCUGUUCGUUCUGGUCGCUUGGUGCGCUCUUUCCGAGGUGGAAGCGUUGCAUCAUCGUGCCUCACCGGGUCCAGUCAGGGCUGCUGCCCAAGGCUACAAUCCUUCGUCGCUGGGGGCUCCUAUCACUGGUCGGUCCCGUAGGGGGAUCUGCAGUACGGGGGUCGUCCUCUUCGAAUGCUGACCACACCUGGAUGUCGCUCGUCAAGCGGUCACCGAUACGACUGGCUUGAUGGACACUUGACGGUGAAAUAAAAACAUUGCACGAGA
Ornithodoros turicata is the source of this 582-nucleotide long non-coding RNA. RefSeq lists it as uncharacterized. The record is from RefSeq and is a predicted model, not a curated record. The transcript is spliced from 5 exons. NCBI's taxonomy places the organism in Eukaryota, Metazoa, Arthropoda, Arachnida, Ixodida, Argasidae.